GCCCACUCCAAGGGGUGUGCGCCCCUUGAAUUUUCCAAAAAGGGAGGCAUGUGCCUCCUCUCCUCUUUCCAAUUAAUCCACGCCUCAGAAGAAAAUAAUAAGAGAGAAAAUAAGGAGAUUUGUUUGCCAACUAAUUGGCUUGAUCCAAUCCUUUUGGGUCCUCAAAUAGGUGCUCCUCUAAAUCCAAAUCAAAAUGGAUCUAGAUAAGAUUCAAGGCUAUAGACUUGAUCCAAUCAUUAUCUAAUAAAAAAUCCAAGUCCAGAGAAGAAUUGAGUUUAACCAUGUGCUAACAUAAUUUUCAUAAACCCAAUAAGAUUUCACUAAAUCCUAACCUAAUUAGAACUUCAUAAGCCCAAUUGGUUAAUUCAAGAUUAAAUUUCUUAACGUGUGACCCCAUAGGUUCCAUUCUAUCUGGUAGUGAGAUAUAUUACGAUCUCCAUCACAAUAUCAUCGAAACUCUUUUCGAUGGGUUGGAACAAUUCCAACUUUGCCUUUCGAGGAUCAUCGAUCAUCAAGACGAUGUCCGAUGAGUCCCACAAUCCAUCAGUAACACCUAGCACUAUGUAGUGACAAUCCAAUAAAAUAAAAGUAUGAACGCCUAGAUGCAGUUAUCGUGUGAUUCAAUCUUUCUAUCGUGAAUCCCGACUUGAUGGAGGUCAUGAAAAACUUGCCAGACCCCAUCAUCAGUCAUAUACCAGAUUGGCUCGACUCGAGUUCACUUGUGAAUCUCAUGAAAACUCUUUUUCAGUAUUCACACUUGCUUUGGCCAAAAAUUUUCUGAACUCAGUUUCACAAAUCGUAUAGGAUUUCUCUUUUUCUACCAAGGUCAAUAGAUUCCAUCUAGGUGCAUCCUACUAACAGAGAAUCUGAAUCUACUAUAGCCAACAUACACAGCAAGAAUCCGAAUGGCUAGGGACCAAGAGAACGUGCAGUCAAACUCAGUAGCCUCACUGCAAAUAGCCGAUGACACCACAGGUCAAAGGACCACUCAUACCACUGCAGCAUCGAGACAACCACUGAUGAGUAAGUAGACAUCCAAGUGAUUUCUCGUGUUGGUCACGCUCAGUGCAAGUUCUUUAACAACCACCUGCAUUCUCAUCCCAGUGUCCUUACACUGCAGAUCCGAGACUCAUCUAUCCAAAAAGGAGGUGAUCCAUACACCGAUCUUUAAAUGGAUNNNNNNNNNNNNNNNNNNNNNNNNNNNNNNNNNNNNNNNNNNNNNNNNNNNNNNNNNNNNNNNNNNNNNNNNNNNNNNNNNNNNNNNNNNNNNNNNNNNNNNNNNNNNNNNNNNNNNNNNNNNNNNNNNNNNNNNNNNNNNNNNNNNNNNUAAAAAUGACCUUUAUUAAUAAUAAAAGUGUUACAUGUACAAAGUUAAACCUUGAAAUUAUAAAAUGUGUCAACCAACAAUUGGCUUUUAGGGCACACAUCUAACAAACUCGCACUUGACCUAAAGCCAAUUAGCUAUAUACCUAAGAUCCAUCAUCUCAAAGUGAGCUUCGAUCUUCUGCUGGCUGAGAGGCUUGAUCAGCGGGUCCGCCACAUUCUACACAGAGUCGACUCUCUGCACCUCGACGAACUUCUUUUGAGGUAUUCGCGUAUGAUGUGGAACCACCACUUUAUAUGCUUGGACUUCUGAUGAGACUUAGGCUCCUUAGCGAGAGUUAUGACGCCGUUGUUGUCACAGUGCAGUGCAAUGACAUCUGAUGGCAUCAUAUCUAGCUCCGCAACAAAGUUUUUGAAUCAAAAAGCUUCCUUAGCAGCUUCAGAGACAGCGAUAUACUCGACUUCUAUGGUCGAAUCUGUAAUGACCGGCUGCUUGAAACUCUUCCAGUUAAUCGAUCUUCCAUUACACAAGAAAAUACAUUUUGAUGUAGAUUUUCUAUCAUCGAUAUCAGUUAUAAAGUCUGAAUCAGUGUAUCCCUCCACUUUCAGCUCUGAUCCUCCAUCAAAGAUCAAGAACAAAUCUUUAGUUCUUCUCAAGUACUUAAGGAUGUUAUUCACAGCAAUCCAGUGCUCUUCACCUGGAUUCGCCUAAUAUCUGCUCAUGAUACUCACGGCAAGCGCUAUAUCAGGUCAUGUACAUAACAUGACAUACAUGAAGCUCCCUAUUGCCGAAGCAUAAGGGAUCUUGCUCAUGCACUGGAUCUCCUCAGAUGUGUCAGGGCACAUCUUCUUGAAAAGAUGAAUGCCAUGUCUAAGGGGCAAGAGAUUCCUCUUGAAGUUUUCCAUGCCGAACCUUUUCAGCACCUCUAUGUACAUUCGCUGUGAGAGUCCUAUCAUUCUCUUAAAUCUAUCCUUAUAAAUCUUUAUACAAAAAAUGUAGGAAGCUUCUCCUAGGUCUUUCAUGAUGAAUUCUUUUGACAACCAUACUUUGACCGAUGUCAGCAUGAAAAUAUUAUUCCCAAUCAGGAGGAUAUCAUCCACAUACAAUACAAGAAAUGUGACAGCGCUCUCACUGACCUUUUUAUAUACACACGAUUUCUCUUCGUUUUUUAUGGAAUCAAAUAUUUUGAUCACAUCAUUAAAGUGAAUGUUCCAACUCCGAGAUGCUUGCUUGAGUCCAUAUAUGGACCUUUGCAGCUUGCAGACCUUGUGAUCACUAUCACUGGAUGUGAAAUCCAAAGGCUGCUCUAUAUAGAUAUCUUCCUCAAGAUAUCCAUUUAGGAAGACAAUUUUCAUAUCCAUCUGCUAAAUUUCAUAAUCAUGAAAAGCUGCAAUCACAAGCAGAGUCUGGAUAGAUUUUAGCAUGGCCAUGGGUGAAAAAGUUUCCUAAUAGUCAAUGCCUUCGCAUUGACUAUAACCUUUCGCAACCAGCCUUGCCUUAUAAGUCUACCUGACCAUUCGACCCAAUUUUUUUUUUAUAGAUCCAUUUACACUCAAUAGGUACAAUACCUUCAGGUGGAUCUACUAAGAUCCAAAUCUGAUUGAAAUGCAUGGAGUCAAUUUCUGACGUCAUCACUUUCAUCCAUCUCUCGGAGUCAACAUCUAAUAUCGCCUCAUCAUAGGUCUUAGGAUCAUUCCUAAUAUCCCUAUCUCCCACAAGGAAUGCUUCUUCUAGAUCCUCUGUAAGAAUACCUAAGUACUUUUCAAAAAGACGGGAGAUCCUACUUGAUCUACGAGGUGGAGGAGGUACCACAUCUACUGACUCACUACUAGAUUUAGAUUCUUGGACUCGAUACAAUUCAGAGACCUUCUCUUCGAGCACAAUGUUCCUCCCACUGCCUUCAUCUUGGAUACUCUUUUUUCAAAAAGACAGCAUGACGGCUCACAAUCACAUUGUGAUCCUCAGGAAGAUAAAAGUAGUAUCCCAUGNNNNNNNNNNNNNNNNNNNNAAUUUCUUAGGAUACCCUAUAAAACGAGUCCUAAAAGAUCUAGCCUCUAACUUGUCCAUCUGCUGUCGCUUGACAUAGAUCGGACAUCUCCAAUCUUGAGAUACCCAAGAGCUGACUUCUUACCAUGCCAUAACUCGUAUGGUGUGGUAGGAAUAGAUUUAGAGGAAACCCGAUUUAAAAGAUGAAUUAUAGAAAGUAAUGCAUGUCCCUAGAGAAAGAUAGGAAGAUCUGUGAAGCUUAUCAUGGACCAGAUCAUAUCUAAUAAGGUCCGAUUCCUCCUUUUGGAUAUCUCAUUGAGCUGAGGCAUCCCUGAAGGUGUCCACUGUGAGACUAUGCCGUUAUCCUUGAGAUAGAUCCGAAAUUUUCUGCUAAGGUAUUCCCUCCUCGAUCUGAUCGAAGAAUCUUUAUAGGUUUUUCGGUCUGUUUUUCUACUUCAUGUCUGAACUCCAUGAACUUUUCAAAGAUUUCAGACUUUCGAUGUAUCAAAUAUAUAAAAUCAUACCGUGAAUAAUCAUCGAUAAAAAUUAUGAAGUAGACAUAGCCACCCCUGACUUGUACAUCCAAUGGACCACACAUCAGUAUACCAGGGCUAAUAUUUUAGUGGCUCUUUUCUCUUAUCCCACAAAGGAUAGCAUAGCUAUUUUUUCUUAAAGAUAGGAUUCACAAACCGGAUAAGACUCGAAAGUCAAUGACCUAAGAAGACCAUCUUUCUCCAGUUUGUUGAGUCUGUCCUCUCCUAUAUAGCCUAGCCUAAGGUGCCAUAGAUAUUUUUAGCUAAUCCUAUCUUUAAGUCUCUUAGAUCCUAUGGCAUUCACAGUUUGCUCGUUAAUAUUAAUACUCGCAUCCAUAUGCAAAUGAUAAAGACCAUCAAUCAAGAAAGCAUGUGUAACAACUUUAUUUUCAAAAUAAAUUGCAUAUAUAUCUUUAUUGAAAUAAAAAUUAUAAUUAUCUUAUGCCAGCACAGAUAUGAAAAUUAAAUUCCUACUGACUACAGGUACACAAUAGCAGUCUUUUAAUAACAAUCUAUAUCCUAACGGUAGUCACAAAGGGUAGGUCCCGACGGCCACAACAGCAACUCUUGCUCUAUUGUCGACCUGAAGAGCGAUCCCACCUUCCCUCAGCCAUCUAAUUUCUUCAAGACCCUGCAUAGAAGUACACAAGUGAGCAUUUGAACCAGAAUCUAGAAUCCAACUAGAAGAAGAGAAAACCAUUAGAUUAGAUUCUAUUAUAAGCAAAUCAGAUGUACCUUCAGAAAGCCCAUUCUUCUUUCUGUUCUUCACAGUCGUCAGGUAGAUCGGACAGUUCCUUCGCCAAUGGCCUUCAACAUUGCAGUGAAAAUAUUUUUCUUUAUCGUCGGCCUUCUUCGGAAUCUAUUUUUUGGGCUUGGCCUCAUUCUUUUGCUUCUUCGCAGGCUUCUUCUUUUUCUUGAAAGAAAAAUUUCUCUUAGAAGAAGUCCGCUCCACAGUCAGAACCGUACCCCUUGAAUUUUUCAAGAUGUCCUCAGCUAUCACCAACAUGUUCAGUGAUUCGGACAAAGUGCUAUCAAUUUUAUUCAUAUGGUAGUUUAUAAUGAACUGCCCAUAUAAAUCAGAAAGAUAUUGGAGGAUCAAAUCCACCUGCAAUUCCUUAUCCAUGUUUAUCCCAAGCUUCUGAAGCUUUUCGAUGUCCUUGAUCAUUGUCAAAUAAUGAUUAUUGACGGAUUGUCCAUCACACAUUUUUGCUCUGAAUAGUCUUCGAAAGACGUCAAAACAAGUUGUGCGACUCUGCUCACCAUACAACUCUUACAGGUGAGUCAGCAUCUCUUUGACAGUCCUCAUGUCUUCAUGCUGUUGCUGAAGAUCAUUGGACAUGGAUGCUAGAAUGUAGUACUUUGCCUUAUUGUCCUCAUCCAUCCACUUCUCAAGUACGGCUCGUUGAUCAGAGGAUGGACGAGCUGGUAACACAAGCGCAUCCUGAUCUAGGAUAUGAGUUAACUUUUCAGAACUGAGAACGAUUCUUAAAUUUCGGAGUCAGUCUUUGUAGUUUGUCUCGAUCAAUCUAUUUGUGUCAAGGAUAUGGACUAAAGGGUUUGAACUCGAUAUGGUUAUCUGCAGUGAAAACAGUUUCUAGUUAGAUGUUUGUACUUAUUAAAUAUUUGUUCUAGGAACUUUUAAAAUCAAACAAGGCUCCUACUAUUUCUUCGAAUCUCCCACACUCCUCGGAUGGAGAAACAAAAACUUAUACACAAUCGAUUUCUAGUAGGUACUGUGAUUCCACUGAUCUAUACACACCUCACCUAACAGUUAUUGAAGAGUAUAGACCAAUGAGUGGACAACAUCCGUCCAUUGCUUCACAAAGUAAGAUGCAACGGGUCCGAUCUCUAAGUCCUGUGACCUCAUCUAAUAGUUAUUGGUACAUUUCUUAGUUAAAUCAGACCCAUCGUUUACCAGUAGAUGUAAAGCCAUCAUUGGAUCCCUCAUCUAACAGUUAUUGGAUCCAACCCCAUUUCUAUCUCGAGGCAUCUAAUGCCAAUAGAGUGAUUGUACCUUUUCGAUGCAACUGAACCACUAUAAUCAGUCGAGAACGAUCAACGUCACGAAAGCACCCGCAUCUCUACAAUGGUGGAAGACCGCUAGACUUAAUAUUUGUAAGGAGAUUUAGAUUUAUGUAUCUUCUAAGUCAUCAGAUUUGAUAUUUGACUGAUCAAGUUCAAAUCAGCACAUUCACAUGUCUGACCUACCUGAUCGGCAUAGGAGAAUUUGAGUCAGCAAGUAACCUAAUUUGAAACUUAAUCUCCCAAAAUAGCUAGAUAAGUUAAGAUGAGUGAGGAUUCUCCUGUUGCUUUCCUUAGACACCAACGGAUUGGCCAGAUCAGAUAAUGGAACCAAUUAAAUAACCACCAUCUAAGUACUUGUCUUAGACAUUUAAUUGAUUGAUUAAAAUCGAUCAGAUUAACCUAUUGAUCCGGAUCUGAACCACCGAGCCAAAUUAAGUCUUGAGUCAAUCAAUUCACAUUAAAAUAUGAAUCGAUGCAAUCAACUAUAACUAAAACUGAUUUUGAGCCCUUUUGACCUAAUCCUAACCAAUAAUUGAUUAGAUUCAAUCAACUACUCAAAAUUGAUAAUGGGUUCUAGCCUGAUCAAAUUAAUUGACCCAAAUUGUAGUUUGAUCACUAGACCUAAUUUAUUCAACCCAUACCCAUAUGCAAUAACAUAAUUUUCAGAUUCUAAAAAUAUUUUAAAUUAUAUUUCAUUACAUGCAUUAGUGGCUUAUGAUCUUGAAACAGUUUCAGAUCUAAACCUAAUGUCAUAUAUCACAUAUAUGAAGUUUUAGAUCUAAACUACAAACAUAUAUCACAUAUAUAUAUUAAAUUUCAGAUCUAAAACUAAAAUUACACAUAUCAAAUACAUGCAUAAUCAAAUCUAAAAUAAUGAUUAAAAUACUUUAAAAAUAAUUUUUAAAAAUGGUUCGCAUCAAACUAGGAUAACUUUUUCAAUAUAGGGGAUAAACCCUAUAUCAGGACAACCUUAUACUAGUCCGAUGUGAAUAUUUAAUCAUUCUAAUUUCAGAUCUAUCAUGAAUAAAAAUAUAUCAUAUACAUUUAUUUUCAGAUCUAAAAGAUUGAUUUAAAAAUUUUAAAAAUAGAUCUCAAAACCGAUCAAUCUUAUGCUAGGACAACCUUUUCAAUAUAGAAGGUUAACCCUAUAAUAGGAAAACCUUAUACCAGCACAAGAUCAAUAUUAAAUCAUUUAAACUUUCAGAUCUAACAUAAAAAUCAGAUUAUACAUGUCUUAAAAAAUCUAUGGCUCUGAUACCACUGUUAGAAAACGGAUAGGAUUGCAUGCAUAGAUUUCAAAAUAAUUUUGAAACAACGGAAGCAAAUCUAAGUUAAACCCUUUAACCCCACAUGCAAUAGAUCUAAUCUAUAUCUAUCCAAGCCCUGAAUCUAAGACAUACAUAUAAUCUAAAAAAUAAAAUAGAAAAAUUGAGAUCGGAUCUCAAUACCUUGUGCGGGUUAAAAUACACCACAACCGAUGAUCCUAAAUCUAAAGGUUCUAGAGCCGUAUACGUUCUCAGCCUUUUGGAUCUUUGAUCAACUCUUGAUCUUUGAUCGCGAUCUCAAUGCUUGAACUGCAGUCUUUCUCUCUGUUCCUUGCUGUAGAAGAGAUCAUCCUCAACUUGAGCAUGUGGGAAGAUGGGACGCCCAAACCUUGGAUGUUGGAAAGAGAGGAGGAAGAGAGGUUGGCGUGGUGAAUGGGAGAGGUUUAGAUCUGAAUUCUUAAUUCAAUCCCUUUGAAACCCUAGGAGACCAUCCCUUAAAUAAAUAUUUUCUUGAUUUCAAAUCAAUCUCCAAUCAAUCUAGAAAGACUAGUCCUUAUCUCAUAAGGUUCUUUGCCUUUUAAUUUGAUUUUUUUCCAAAAAAAUCAGAUCCAAUUGGAAAGACCCUUACCUCAUAUGGCAAGUAGAGGGGGCGCCCCACAUCCUAUAAGGCAGGUAGAGGGGGUGCCCUCAUCAAAUGAGGCGAGUAGAGGGGGUGCCAACCCUUGGCGCCCCUUAGGGUUUAGUGUGCACAAAAAAGGGGGCCUAGCCCCUCUCUCCCCUCUCUCUCCUUCCAUGCUAAAGCAAAAGAGGGAGUGGGCCCCUCUCUCUUCUAUCCGCCCACUCCAAGGGGUGUGCGUCCCUUGGAUUUUCCAAAAAGGGAGGCAUGCGCCUCGUCUCCUCUUUCUAAUUAAUUCAUGCCUCAGAAGGAAAUAACCAGAGAGAAAAUAAGGAGAUUUAUUUGCCAACUAAUUGGUUUGAUCCAAUCCUUUUGGGCCUUCAAAUAGGUGCCCCUCUAAACUCAAAUCAAAAUAGAUCAAGAUAAGGUUCAAGACUAUAGACUUGAUUCAAUCCCUUAUCUAAUAAGGAAUCCAAAUCCAGAGAAGAAUUGGGUUUAAUC
Molecule: long non-coding RNA, 8250 nt
Filed under: Elaeis guineensis (African oil palm)
Lineage: Eukaryota; Viridiplantae; Streptophyta; Magnoliopsida; Arecales; Arecaceae
Description: long non-coding RNA (EGUI_LNC019524)
Source: RNAcentral